RNAcentral lists this ribosomal RNA (440 nucleotides) under uncultured bacterium. RNAcentral's name for it is "partial 16S ribosomal RNA". It matches the Rfam family "Bacterial small subunit ribosomal RNA", at positions 338 to 795 of the family's 1533-position model. The record is from RNAcentral.
CCUACGGGAGGCAGCAGUAGGGAAUAUUGCUCAAUGGGGGAAACCCUGAAGCAGCCACGCCGCGUGGAGGAUGAAGGUUCUCGGAUUGGAAACCUCUUUUUUUAGGGAAGAUAAUGACGGUAUCUAACGAAUAAGCACCGGCUAACUCCGUGCCAGCAGCCGCGGUAAUACGGAGGGUGCAAGCGUUAUUCGGAAUCACUGGGCGUAAAGAGCGCGUAGGCGGGGUGGCAAGUCAGAUGUGAAAUCCUAUGGCUUAACCAUAGAACUGCAUUUGAAAAUGUUAUUCUUGAGUAUGGGAGAGGUAGGUGGAAUUCAUGGUGUAGGGGUAAAAUCCGUAGAGAUCAAGAGGAAUACUCAUUGCGAAGGCGACCUGCUAGAACGUAACUGACGCUGAGGCGCGAAAGCGUGGGGAGCAAACAGGAUUAAAUACCCCAGUAGUC